Molecule: long non-coding RNA, 4519 nt
Filed under: Brassica napus (rape)
Lineage: Eukaryota; Viridiplantae; Streptophyta; Magnoliopsida; Brassicales; Brassicaceae
Description: long non-coding RNA (BNAP_LNC022960)
Source: RNAcentral
AGGAUGCGGAGAAAAAGACCCCAGGAACUAAGAAGGUGGUGAAAAAGAUUGUUAAAAGAGUUGUUAAAAGGCCUGUCAACGAUGGAAAGGCAACUGAUAAGAAAGAUGAGAAGCCGGAUGAAAAGGAUGUUCCUGGAAAGGUUGCCAUUUCAGGUGAUAACCAAGGGGAGAGCUCAGAUCCUAGUGCUAAGGGUAAUGAACAGACUCCUUCAAAGACAAUCGUAAAGAAAAAAAUCAUCAAAAAAGUGGCUAAAAAGAAGAUUGCUGAAGUAGACAAUAACAUGGACGGUGACUUGAAGAAUAAUGGAGACAAUGAUGAGGAAAAGGUGGUGGACGCAGAGAAGAAAACUCCUGAUUCAGGUAGUAUGGAGAUGAAAUCUCCUGCAGGAAAGAAGGAAGAGAGUGCCUCCAAAAUUGUGGAAACAAAACAGAAGGCGGGAUCUCCGAGUACUGAGAAAAAGGAGGGUGCUUCUAGUUCAACAAAGAAGGACAUUAAGGCAGGUGAAGACAAGAAGGCUGAAAAGAAAGACAAGUCAGAGAACCAAUCCGAGGGCAAAAAGGUUGACGAGAAAAAGGCAAAAGAAAAAAUUAACGAGAAAGAAAUUAAAGAGAGAAGUGGAAAAGAUGAGUCCAUAAUACAAGUGAAGGACAAGAAAAAGUCUGACGAACCUCCUCGGCCAGGAUUUGUUCUACAAGUGAAACGGAACAAAGAUUCUAAAGUAGGUGGACAAUAAGUCAAGGUUUCAGGUUUAGUAAUAGCAGCUUUCACUUAUUUGGAGUUUUUUUCUUUUUAGCAGUUGCGUUCACUUUCGGUCUCCCUGGACUCGCUUUUGGAUUACACUGACAAGGACAUUGAUGAGUCAUCAUUUGAGGUUAGUCUUUUUCCUGUGUGGUUACUGCUUUGCUUAGCAUGUUUCCAUUGUCUCUCUUAGCUAACCAAUGUACGUGUUUUGUUAUAGCAACUGAACUACUAAGUUUUCAUCAAUAUUAUGUAUGUGCUUGCAGCUUUCAUUGUUUGCUGAAUCGAUGUUCGAGAUGCUACAGUAUCAAAUGGGUACUCGUAUCUUAGAAUUUCUCAAGGUUGGUUUGUAACUGAUUUAUGAUGUUUUGUUUUUUGAGCUUACAUAACUGUUUUCUUACACUUCUUUUUUUUGUCCUUGGUAGAAAUUACGUGUAAAAUUUGUGAGAGAGAGAAACCAACGAAAGAGGCGUCAAGAAGAGUUAUCUGCCAAGGAAAAGGAAGCAAAAGCACAAAAUAAGCGUCAAAAGACUGACAAGGAAGCCACUGUUACAACUGAAUCUGUUCCUGAGAAGGAUGACAAGAAAAAUUCAGCAAAGGAAACGGUAGCUAACACUGAAGACACUAAAAAAGCCACCGGUGAUGAAGCUGCUACGAUGGAAGCGGAUAACCAGGAUGAGGAGGAUGAAGAGAUUGAUGAAGACCCAGAGGAAGACCCUGAAGAGGAUCCUGAAGAAGACCCUGAGGAAUGCGAGGAAAUGGACGAUGAAAAUCCUGAGCAAGAAGAAACUGCUGAAGAGGUAUGAUUUAUACAUUAUUUGCCAUGCAGUUUCCAACUUACAUUAUCGUAAGUUUUAUUUUAGCCAACAAGAUGUUAUGUUCAUCAAUCUUGUCCAUUUGUUCUGUGUCUCUUCUUCAGCCGCAGAAGAAUGAAGAAAACAGUGAGAAGACUAGCAGCGCUGUUGCUCGUCCUAUAACUGAAGUCGCAACUGAUAGAAAAGAAGAGAUCGUGGAGAAGACUGAUUCCAAAUCUGCUGAGAUCAAACCCAAGUCGGAGUCAGGCAAGCACGGGAAGCAAGAGGAAGGAACAUCUGAUGCACCAAAAAAAGAAGAAACGGUUGGAGCGUCGCCGUGAGAACCUGCGUGCCAGAGAUAAGGAGCGAGAACGAGAGAGGGAUCGCGAACGUGAUAGAGAGCGAGAACGAGAGCGGGAGAAGGAACGAGAAAAGCAAAGAGCUAGGGACAGAGAAAGGGAUCGCAUACGGGAGAAGGAAAGAGAAGAUGAAAGAGAACGUGAUCGAAAACGCGCUCUCGAAAGAAAACGUGAUCGGACUCCAACAGCGAGAGCUACGUCCAGGGACCCAAAGGAGCGGACUCCAGUGCCGAAAGCUGUUUCUAGGGAUGCACGUAGUUCCUCUUUGCGGCGGGAUGCACAACAUCGUGAAGCAUCAAUUAGGUUUUCUUUUUUAUCCAUGUCACGCUCUUCAUCUGGAAUGCAGGGGAUUUUAUGUUGCUUCUUCGCAAGACACUAACCUUAUUUCUGUUAUACCUGAAGGCGUCCUUCACCAGUUAGGCCAAUACGGAGAGAUUAUGUCUGCAAGGUAACAAGUGUUCAGAGAAAUUCCUCAUUCCGUGAUGUUUUUGCAUACUCCUCUGGGUUACCUCAUCUUCCUUUCCAAUCCUGCAUUCUCCUUGCUUUCUUAUUGAUUGACUUCCAAUUUCAGCUUUCUCAUUCUUUUCCUCCUUUACCUUUGGUUACUAUACUUCCUCUUUCCUUCUGACAUCUUGUCACCUUGGGGUAUUAUUAUCCUGCCUUUUGAACUCAGUGUGACAAAUAUUCCUGGUAGAAAGUGCUAUGUUUUCCUGAGUUUUGUAUUAUUUGGGAGGGAAAUUUUGCAACCUUAUAUAUUGUUCGUCUCUAGUUAAUUUUCCUGAUUGCGAUUUUUUUUCUUUGGGACUUUGCAUUGAAGGAAACUUGUAAAAGUUCACAAGGAUGAAACAAUGGAUGUUAUUUUUCGUUGAUAAGACGCUUUAUUGAGAGUUACCCGCCCUUUGUAUCCUGAGUAAUGCAAUGAUUAAGACCAAUGUACAUAAUUUGAUGACUUGUUUGUAGGUUUUAUCCUCGCGCUUGGUUGACAUGGAGAGGGAUUACGUGACACUGGAUAAAAGAUAUCCAAGGCUUUUUUUACCUUCUGAGUUUUCCAAGGUAUCUGUUUGUCUAUCUGCCAAUAAUUUUCUAAUCCUUAGGAGAGUACCAAGUGAUCGUAAACCUCAAUAUAUAUGUUUCAGGUUGUGGUGAACUGGCCGAAACAAAAGCUUACACUUUCGAUGCAUACUGCUGUGAGGUGAAUUAAUCCUACUUUCUUGUUUGCAAAUUGUCAGUCUGAAGAUUUUAAUCGUGUUCAAGGAGUUCAAAUAGAUCAUAUUUUAUUUCUCUUGCUGAGUCAGUAUAUUAGAGCUAGAUUUUGGAUUCACUUUUGCUUUAUUAUAUAUAUAGUCUAAGAUUUGUAAACAUCUUUGUUUGUAACUGAAACAAAUCUAAUAUAUAUUGAAAUUCAUUUUUAACAUGUAUUUUAUUGCUCUUUAUGGUAUAGUUUGUGUUUGCAUGUUCUUUACGUUAUUGAAUGCUUUAUUUGCAUGUUCAUCAUCAUAGUAAUUUAGUUUUUUUUUUUUUUUAAUCACAGUUUCAAGUGGUCUUCAAGGCGAGAGCCUCGAUGCGCCAUGGCGCAAGGCGCAAGGCACAUACUUCAUCGCCAUGGAGCGCCAUGAGCCUUUUUAAACACAGGCCUGAGCAGGACUGCUCUGGAAGAUCUUUCUUCAGAUAAAUUAUUUGAAGAGCGUAUACCUCAUAUUUGCAACAUAUUAAAGUUUGCUGUUCUUAAAAAAGAUCAUUCGUUGAUGGCCACCGGUGGUCCUUGGGAUCCCACAGAUGGCAUGGACCCAUCAGUUGAUCAGUCUUCCUUAAUCACGACAAUGCUGAGGUGUGUUUCUUCUCUUGUUCGUUUUUGUCAUUCUUUUCUACCUUGUAUUCAUUGUCUUGAGGCAUGAAAGGUCUUUUGCGUUGCAGACACACAAAGGAUAAGCUUCAUCUUGAUCUGAGCAACUGCCGUCACUGGAAUCCCUUUCUUGAGGUAGGUUUGACAUCUCUUAGUUUAAGACUGCAUUGAGAUGUUGAACAAGUGGGGACGUCAUAGUAGAGUAUCCGAGCUUAUUAGUGGUUGCUUUAUUUAUUAAUGUUUUCGUUAGUGUAUUAAAUAUUUUUUCUAACUGUCUUAAAUUGUUGGACCCUCAACCACUGCUAUUAGCCUAUCCAAAGAUUUGCUAUGAAUAGCUUUGCCAACUUUGUUAACUUGGUUCCUCGAUUGCAUUUUGCUGUAGAUAUGGUAGCUUCAGCAUAGAUACAUACAAAGCUAACCAAGCAAUAUUAUUUACUUGUUAUCUGGAGAUCUAAAUAGUUUUGUUUGACCUCUUUUUUUUUGGCGUUUACAGAUACAUUACGACAGAGUUGGUACGGAUGGAGUUUCUAUCUUCAAAGAGAUCACUGUACUAUUUGUCCCUGAUUUAUCAGAAUGUCUUCCUUCAGUUGACGCUUGGAGAACCCAAUGGUUGGCACACAGGAAAGUUCUUGCUGAGAGAGAUAGACUACUUUCUCAGGAGGCUAAGAAAGAUGUCAUUGUAGGAAAGGGAAGUGAUAAUGCCGGUGAAGUAGCCAAGGAUGCGGAGAAAAAGACCCCAGGAACUAAGAAGGUGGUGAAAAAGAUUGUUAAAAGAGUUGUUAAA